AUAAAGCACAAAUUGUGUACAAACCUUUGCUUAAUGUAUGGUACUUCACAAAAAUAAUAUAUGAAUGGUCUGUUUUUAUUUUCACAAAUAAUAUAUUGAUCAUGAAAAGGUUUCUGCAUAAGUAAUAAAUAGAUGAAAUUGAAAAGGUGUAUACCUUUGCGUCCCCACUGAUUUGGUACCGGUAUAAAAUUGUCAUAAUGAAUCAUUACAAAUCUUUUAUGUGUGUAUAUCAAGAGAGUUAUAUUUGUUGUUUUCUAACAGAAGUCAUUGACAAAGUACUACUCUUAUAAAUGCAUAUUUAUUUAUUUUUUUUUUUAUAAUAAUACUUCUUGUUGAAUUUUUUUCUUAUUUUUGAUGUCGACAAUUUCAAAUAAAAUAAUAAGACGAAGACUGACAUUGACCUGACUGAAAUGAAAAUGUAGCUAGUCACAAUAAAAAAGGGGUAUUGACAUAUGUUUAAAAUGGUGAUAAUUGUAACCCUAUCUGUACGGUAAAAAAACCCCCCAAAUCAUAAAGUUAGGAUCAAUUGAACAUGGUAACAAAAAAAUGUGUUCUAUUGUUGACUGAAUCAAGGGAUUUAUCCCUUGUAUUGAACCAAUUCCUUAUUGUAGUAACCUUGUAAAAAUAUAUUUCAGUAUUUGCAUUGAAAGAGCUGUAGGAACUAAUUACCGGCAUUGAUUGAGUAAUCAAAAAACCAACAUAUAAGUGGUAGGUUGUAAAUUAAAGUAAUGCAUCCUUUAGUGUAGGAUUCAGAUAAAGAAAUGAAAUAUGCUUUUAAGGCAGUCAAUAGUAAAUAGGUAUAGAUUAUGUGUUAGGAAAAAUAUAUUUAAAAAAAACUUGAUAGGAAUGAAAUUAAGGUUAGGUGUAAGGUAAAUUUAUGAUCAUGUAGAAAAAAAAUGUUUUUUUUUUGCUUGGAAAAUUAGUAUGAAAUGUCUUUAUUGAAAAUGGAAUCACUAAAUGAUCCUAAUACUGCACCCUUCGGGUAGCAGAGAAUUAUAGUUGUCUCUCAAUGUUUAGUCAGAACAUACCUUUGCGCUCCACAUGCUUCUUAUCUAGAUGUAUUAAAAAUCAGUUAGUUAAGAAAAAUCUCCAUUCCAGAUACAUCAUUCUGCACUCAAGAUAGUCCAUGUUAGGUGUAUUCAGAUCAAAUAGUUUAUUGAAAAUAUACCUUAGUAUUCCAGAUAGUAUUUCUACUAGGUGAUUUCAGACCAGUUAGUUUAGUCACAACAUCUGCGAUCCAGAUACUCCUCCAGUAGAAAAACUCAGAUGAAUAAGUUAAGUCGUAACAUACCUAUGCCAUCCAGGUAAUCCUCCGCUAGGUGUAUUCAGAUCAAGAUAGACCUUUGAUAGGAACAUUUAGAUCAAAAAGUUUAGUCACACUAUACCUAUGUGCUCCAGAUACUCCUCUGCUAGGUGUAUGAAUAACAUAACUCUGCGCUCCAGAUAGUUCCCACUAGGUGUAGUCAGAUAAAUAAGUUAAGUGAAAACAUUCCGCUGUACUCUACCCGCUAGGUGUUUUCAGAUAAGUAAGUUGUGAAAAUAUAUAGUUGUACUCUAGAUGCUCGUCUGCUAGGUGUAUUCAGAAUAUAACUCUGCGCUCCAGAUUGUUCCUGCUAGAUGUAUUCAGAUAAACAAGUUUAAUAAAAACAUACCGCUGUACUCUAGAUACUCACUGCUAAGUGUAUUCAGAUCAUAGACCUUAGUCAUAACGUACCCAUGUGCUUCAGAUGCUCCUGCGCUAGGUGUAUAAACAUAAAUAAGUUUAGUCGGGACAUACCUAUGUGCUCCAGAUGCUUCUCUGCUAGGUGAGACCAAUUAAUUAAGUCACAUUUCCACUCCAGAUACUUCUCUGCUAGGUGUAUUUAGAUCUCUUAGUUUAGUGAAAACAUACAUCUGCACUCUAGAUACUGAUUCUACUAAGGUGUAUUUUGUUCAAAUAGUUUAUUCAGAACAUAAGUCUGCGAUCCAAAUAAUUCUUCGUUAGCUGUGUCCAGAUUAAUUAGAACAGAAAACUAUUUGUUUUUAAUUUUCCCAUUUGUUUUAGCGAGAUCAUACCUUUGCGCUCCAGAUAUUUCUUCGUUAGGUGAAUGCCUGGAAAAAACACCUAGUUAAAUGAUAUACUUCUGACAAAGCACAAAUUGUGUACAAACCUUUGCUUAAUGUAUGGUACUUCACAAAAAUAAUAUAUGAAUGGUCUGUUUUUAUUUUUACAAAUAAUAUAUUGAUCAUGAAAAGGUUUCUGCAUAAGUAAUAAAUAGAUGAAAUUGAAAAGGUGUAUACCUUUGUGUCCAAUAUAAUUCUAUUAGAAUGGUAUGCAAAAAAUAAUUUUGUUGAUAAAAUCCUUUCCUCUUCUGUAUUUUGCCUUGGAUAUAACCUCUUUCAAUGGCAGAUUUGUCCAUUCUUUUCUCAUUGCUUUAUCUGUCUAUUAUUCUUUUUCCUGGUACUUUUCCCUGAAUGAAAAUCUUUGCAAGCCCUGAAGACUUAUUACUAUGGCCUUUGUUGGCUGUUUUAAUAAACAAUUAUUAACUAAUAACUAAUAGGUAAAUAAAUGCUAAUGCUCCUUGUUCCAUUUUUUAUAUGAUGUUUUUUCUAGCUAGAUGUUUAAGCUUGGCAUCGCAUUCAGGCCAUACUUUUAUUCAAAGUUUGUAUUAGUAACCUCCUAUCAUUAUCAAUCUUAUUUCUGUGAUGAAUUACUCUCUGAAUUGAACAUUUUAUUACUACACAUUCAAAGUCACUCGUACAAUGGAGAACUUUGUCUACUCUAAUCUUAAUGUUUAUCAGUUCUCUUAAAGGCAUUAAUGAAUUGAUAACUUCUGGUUUGAACUUACUCUGUUCUAAUUUGGCAAUGUUACCAAUGCUUAUUUUAAAUUACAAAAGAAUGGAUAAGUAACUCUAAAAUCUUGCUAUACAUUUCUUUCUGAAGUGGUUGAUGAAAUAAUUACAUACUCUAUCUUUAUCAUUGUUUAAAAAGAUCCACUAGGGAAAAGAGUUGAUUUUUUAAACUUUUAUCUUACUCUAAUCUAAAUUCUUAUUUUUAUCAAAUUUUUUUUAAAGCCAUUAGAAAAAUGGAUAAUUAACUUUGAAAUUUGUAUCUUACCAUAUUAUGUUAUAUUCAUAAAUCUUACAAUUCUAAAUCUCUUAGUGGUUGAGGAAAUAAAGACAUUAACUAGACAUAUAAUUACUAAUGCUGUUUGACAAAAAUACAUUUUAGUGAGCUGGUUCACUUGGACAUAAUAAUAUCAUUGAUUAAUUAAAGAACAUAUCUAACAUACACAUACAUAUAUAUAUAUAUAUAGCUACAAGAAUAGAGAUGAAUGCUUGGAAUUGGCUAUGGUCAGAAGGAUGUUUGUUUUGGAAAUAAUUCACACAAAAGUAAGGUUUGAGACAAAUUAAUGGAGUUAGGAAAAACAAUGGUGCUUAGGGAAGGCAAAAAGGAAAUACAAAACAUGGAAGCUAAUGAAAUGUAAAUAGGAAAUACAAAACAGUGGAGCUAAGGAAAUGUAAAUAGGGAAUACAAAACAGUGGAGCUAAGGAAAUGUAAAUAGGAAAUACAAAACAGUGGAGCUAAGGAAAUGUAAAUAGGAAAUACAAAACAGUGGAGAUAAGGAAAUGUAAAUAGGAAAUACAAAACAGUGGAGCUAAGGAAAUGUAAAUAGGAAAUACAAAACAGUGGAGCUAAGGAAAUGUAAAUAGGAAAUACAAAACAGUGGAGCUAAGGAAAUGUAAAUAGGAAAUACAAAACAGUGGAGCUAAGGAAAUGUAAAUAGGAAAUACAAAACAGUGGAGCUAAGAUAAUGUAAAUAACAAAUACAAAACAGUGGAGCUAAGGAAAUGUAAAUAGGAAAUACAAAACAGUGGAGCUAAGGAAAUGUAAAUAGGAAAUACAAAACAGUGGAGCUAAGGAAAUGUAAAUAGGAAAUACAAAACAGUGGAGCUAAGGAAAUGUAAAUAGGAAAUACAAAACAGUGGAGCUAAGGAAAUGUAAAUAGGAAAUACAAAACAGUGGAGUUAAGAAAAUGUAAAUAGGAAAUACAAAACAAUAUAGCUAGGGAAAUGAAAAUAGGAAAUACAAAACAGUGGUGCUUAGGGAAUGCAAAAAGGAAAUACAAAACAAAGGAGCUAAUGAAAUGUAAAUAGGAAAUACUAAACAGUGGAGCUAAUGAAAUGUAAAUAGGAAAUACUAAACAGUGGAGUUAAGGAAAUGUAAAUAGGGAAUUAAAAAAAACCCAGUGGAGCUAUGGAAAUGCAAAUAGAAAAUACAAAACAGUGGAGCUAAGGAAAUGCAAAUAGGAAAUACAAAACAAUGGAGCUAAGGAAAUGUAAAUAGCAAAUACAUAACAAAGGAGCUAAUGAAAUGUAAAUAGGAAAUACAAAACAUCGGAGUGAAGGAAAUGCAAAAAGGAAAUACAAAACAUCGGAGUGAAGGAAAUGCAAAAAGGAAAUACAAAACAAAGAAGCUAAGGAAAUGUGAAUUGGAAAUACUAAACAAUGAAGCUAAGGAAAUGUAAAUAGGAAAUACAAUACAAUGGAGCUAAGGAAAUGUAAAUAGGAUAUUUAAAAAGUGGAGCUAUAGAAAUGCACUGGAAAACAAAACAGUGGCGAUUAGGAAAAUUCAAAUAGCAAAUACAAAGCAAUUGAGUUUAUUUAAUGCAAAUAGAAAUAAUAAAACAAUGGAGCUUAGGAAAUGUUAUUAGGAAAAACAAAUUAAUGGGAGAUUAAUUUGGAAAUGUAAAAUUAUACCACUUCGGGAUAUAUAGGCUUGCCAUUGUUGUGUCUGUGACUGGUGCUGCAUAUGUGAGCCUAAAAUUGGAGACAUGCAUACUGGGCAUGCUAUUGUAGCUUUGGAUUGACUCUGUUAUGAUACUCUUCUGCAAUGGCUGCUUUGUUGUCUUCAAUGAUUUUUAUGGUGUCAUAAUGUUGUAUCUAUUGAUUUAGUCUCCCUAGAGGCUUCUUUUACAAGUUUGGGACAGAGUUCUUUUUGUCAAUCAUUUUGAGCUUACUUUCUGUUUGCUAGCUGGCCAAAACGGAUGUGUCAUGCCCACCUUAGUUGAGAUUGUAUAAGGUUUGUGUAUGUUCUUUACAACCCUGUUUUUAGGAGGUAUUCUUUGAAGUCUUGCCACUUAAUACUUGUGGUUUUAUCUUUGGUUUGACUUAGAGUCAAUGGGGUUAAAGAGACAACAAUCAUUUUGAAACCUCAUAAUUCUUCUAUCUCCAAUAUAUUUCCCUGAAUGCACCUGUCAUCAUAGGGGAAAAGACUGAAUAUCUAGAGUGCCAAGACAAAUCUCUGUUUAUACCCAUUAAGUAAAUGACCUCUCCUGAUCAUAAACUUUCAUUUCACUGUGAAAACUCUCAAAAUUAUUUGGUCAUAAAUGGAGAUACUUACAAAUGAAAGUAACACACUCUAAAUCAAUGUUAGAUAAAUUAAAAAUUUUUUAGAUAAAAAAAAAUGUUUGAAACAUUUUAGCAUUCAUAAUUGUAAUUAGAAAGAAAAUACAAUUGAAAGCAGAGGAAUAAUAAAAACUGAAGCACUCUAAUUUAUAAUGUUAAAGUUUAAUUAUGUGCACAUACUGAUAUUAUGGCCUUAAAACUAAAUAAAACUUGCCUCAACAUUGUCUCCAAGCUUUUAACUAUGGUACCAGUCUUAAAAAGUCAUAUCAGCAUCAAUAAAGGAAAUAUCACAGCAUUGAAACUCCAGAACCAUUGUGGAUUGAAGAUAUUGAUCUACUUCACAAAGUCUUUGAAUGUUUGUCAACUUAAACAAGAUUAUUGCACCUCAAAUCUGUCACAUGUUCAGUUUCUCUGGUAUUUUUAUAAAUUAGAUGUCUUAAUGACUAAAUAGUUGCCUUCUUAAACACUCCUUAUUUUCUUAUGAGUGUAAAAUGGCAAUACUGAGCUGUGUGAUGUGUUCAUUCUGUGUUUCUGGUAAAGUAGAUUCAUACCGCCACAUUUUCUGCAUAGAUCUCAGUUCCAUUUUUUCCCCUCUUAGUUCUGUUUUAGUAUGUACAUGCAGUCUGAGGUCCUUGUUUUCUCUUGGCCUUUAAGAUAUGGAGUUUGUGAACGACCUGCAUUCUACAUUGAGAACAUAAAAACGUUACAAUUUUAUUUAAAUUAACUUACUAUCCGAUCAUGCUUGUCUUUAUUAUUUCUGUUAAAAGCCUAAUAUACUCUGUGUUAUGAAUUAUGGUACUUGUAAUUGGAAUAAUUUUUUUUUAUUGUUUUGGGGGUUAUGUGAAAGAAUAUGAAGUAUCAGAUGCACUUGUUAGUAUUUUGAAGAUAAAUAUUCAAGCUUUGAAGAAAUGUGUUAGAAUAAUGAAACAUGAAAGUAGCCUAAAUUGAAAACACUGGCAUUUUAAAGUUGGACCUGGAAAUCUUUUGUACAAGUAUUUUGACAACAAGUAGACUAGGGAAUGAGAAUAUUAUUGGUAUGCUUUUGUGUUAUUUUUUGUUUUGUUUUGCAUCAAAGAUGAAGAUAUUAUUUUUGGACAUUUGCUGGACAUUUGAUAAAUGAGGACAUGGGAGAUACAAUGAGAAAGUAGGAAAAACUUGUUAAAUCACGAUUGUAAAAAAAAAGGAUUUGAAAGAACUUGUAUAAAUGAGGAGUAAAAGUUACUUGUAGUAUAAAGAUUUUUAAUUAAAUGAGGAAGUGGAAGAUAAUUGUGGCCUAAAGAUUGUUAAAUGAGGAAGUGGAAGAUAAUUGUAAGAUUGUUAAAUGAGGAAUAGACGUUAUACCAGUACCAGUAGGUUAAAUGAAUAUGACACGGCAUGAAACUGUUUAAUUAAGAAGAUUUUUUUAAAAACUUAGUAUGAUUAAACUAGGAAAUUUGGAAAAGUAUGAUUAAACUAGGAAAUUUGGAAACGGAAACUUUAAAUUGAGAAUUGGUUUAUGAGGACAUGGAAAAUACUUAAGUGAGGAAGAAGAGGAAACUUUUGAAAUGGAUUGUUUAAAGAGAAAGUGGAAAAUAGUGUGUAGGAUAAGUGUCAAAUGAGGAAAUUGAAUAAACUAAUGACAUAAGGAUUGUUAUAUGAAAUGAAAUAUAGAUGUUAAAUGAGAAUUGUUAAAUGGGGAUGUCAUAUGGAAGAUGUUUGAUGAAUAAGGAAGUGCACAAGUGGCAUAAGUAUUGUUGUAUUGAAAAUACUUGAUAUUGUUAGCUAAGAGAAUGGAAUAUACUGUAAGUGGAAGAUAUUCAUUAAAUGAGGAAAUGGAAGAUACUUGUUUAAUUAUAACUGGAAGAUACCGGUACUGUUUAAAUGAGGCAGUGGAAGAUCUUUAAUUAAAUGUGUAUUAGAUGCCAUUUUAUUAGACUUAUCUAUUAGAUGUCAUUUUAUUAGAUUUAUCUAUUAGAUGUCAUUUUAUUAGAUUUAUCUAUUAGAUGUCAUUUUAUUAGACUUAUCUGAAUGGUAGCUCACCAUCAAAGCUAGCCUAAAAAGUUAAAAUAUCAUUGGUCAUUGGAUUAAAAUAUCAUUGGUCAUUGGAUUCAGGAUUGUCUGAUAGGUAUCAAAACAAACUCUAAUAAUAAAUGGCUUCCAUCACCUAUAACUCAAUGUACAUUGAGGAACAAUAUAAAGCUCACUACUACUUCUAAUUCACAUAAAUGAGACCAUCCUAAUUGCAGUACCGUACUUCAGGAACAAAAGUUAAGACUAUUUGCAUAUGAUUGCAUAAUAUAUAGCAAAAAAAACCAAUACAAGAUACUGGUAUUGAAAUUUUACAAAGAAAAUUAUAAGAAUUUCAGAAAUGGGAAAAAGCCUAUUAAUGAAAGUAAUAAAAAAAAUUUGAACAAAAUAAAAACUAGUUACGAAAUUCAAAAUGCCUAGAUGGUUUAAUAAAUAAAAUGUUAACAUGGAACCCGCAUAUUGAUGAAAUUAUUUAAAAAAUCAAAGUAUUUGAAUUUAUUAAAAAGUUUUUACAAAUCAAGAACAUAAAAUUAAAAUGCUACUAACCUCAAAGUUAAUGAGAGUGUCAUGUGGCUAGUAAAAAGACCGCCUUUACUUUUCCCCAACUGAUGUCUGGUACCCAUUUUAGCUGGGUGGACUCAGAGGCGCCUUAAAGAUCCCAAAAUUAAAAACUCCACAGUCUUUACCAGGAUUUAAACUUGGGAUGCCUCGGAGUGAAAGUCAAGCAUUUUACCAUUCAGCCACUGUGUCUCUAUUUAACCUUGGUUAGAUCAAUAUUUAAUAUGAAUCCUGUGAAAUAGAGCUGUAAGAUUUAUAACAGACAAAUAUUUACAUUUGAUUAUAGUAACAACAUUAGUAAAAUCUCUAAAUUUAGAUACACUUGAGGACAAAAGACUGGCCAAUAGCAAUAAUACAUAAAAUACUAAAGCUGAUCAUUUAAAUAUAAAAAAAAAAUAACCUUAUAAAAUAUUGAGAAAGACAUUGAGAUAAUGGCAUAUUUUUCUUUUCAUAUGCUACAACAAAUUUGUACAAAAGCUCCUUCUUCCCUAAUGCUAGUAGAACAUGAAGUGGGUUUUCUGCCUUACUGACUUCGCAGAGUUGAAGUCUCUAACACAACUAGAUUAACACAUGGAUGUAAUUUAGAAGAUAAGAAUGACGAAAUGGAAUGUUGUUUGAGAAAGUGGGAAUACUAGUUAAAGAGGAAGUGGAAUGAAUGAGGACAUUGAAGAUAGGUACUUGUCAAAUGAGUUAGUGGAGAAUACGUGAGAGAAAAAAAGUGGAAAUACUUAUGGACUGAGGAAGUAAAAGAUACUUUAACUAGAAGAUACUUGUUAUAUGAGAAAGUGAAAGAUAUCAGUAUUUGUUUAUUAAGGAAGUGAAGGAUACUUGUUGGAUGAGAAAGGGCAGAAUAUUUGUCAAACCUGAAACUAAGUGAAAGGUACCUGUAAGUGAUACCCCAGUAGUUAAAUAGGGAACUUAAGGAUUGUCAAUAGAAGUGGAAGAAGAUAGGUUAAUAAAUGAGUUAGUGGAAGAUAUUGUGAAAUGAGGUUGUUGAAAAUGCUUAUUGAUUGAGGAAGUGGAUGAUAUUUGUUAAUUUAGUAUUGUUAAAUGGGGAAGUCGAACAUACCUAUUUUUUUAUGAUUGAUUAAAUGGGAACGUGGUUCAGAAUGAGGAAGUGGAAUACAUAUGUUAAAUAUACCGAUAUAAUAAUAAUAAUUUUAUUUAUAAAGCGCUGUUAACAAACAAAAUGUAGGCUCAAGGCGCUGUAAUAACAUUACAGACAUAAACACAAUGACUAACAAAUGUAAAAAAGUUUUAAACUGAUAGGUCUUAAUGUUCUUCUUGAAAGUAGUGUAGUAUGUUGUCUGUCUGAGAUCAAUGGAGAAUGAUGGUCAAAACUUGGGAUAUUUGGCUGAGAGGCCAAAACUGCUUGGGUAUGGCUUGAGCAUCCCUAAAGGAAGCACGGAAACCUUCUCACAAUUAAACAAUAUGGAAUGAGAAAAUGGAAGAUAAUUGUCAAAUGAGGAAGUGAAAGAUAUUUGUUCAAUAAGGAAGAGGAUGAUGAUGCUUGUUAAAUGAAGUUGAAUAUAUUUGGCAUAUGAGAUAAUGGUUGUGGAAAUAAUUGUUACAAAUGGAUUUUUGAAAAGAAAAAUAAAGGGAAAGAUGUUUGAUACUGUUUAGUGAUAAAGUAGAAAUACUUGUCAAAUGAGUUGUGGAAUGAGAAUUGAAAAGAUAUGUUUAAGAGGAUUGUUUAAUUAGGAAGUUAAAUUUAUUUAUUACUGUAGGUACAUAAAGAUUUUUGUGUUGCUAAAUAAAGAUACUAGAUACUGUUAAAUGAGGAAGUCAAAGAUAAUUGUCAUUUAAGGAAAUGGAAGAUACCUUUUGAAUUUAAAAAGAAAAUGGAAGAUACUUGUUGAAUGAGAAAGGAAGUGAAAGCUAUUUGUUAAUUGAAGAUAGAUUUUUAAAUGAGAAAGUGGAAUAUACUUGUUACAAACUGGUAAGAAUAGUGUUGCUAAAUAAAAGGAAAGAUACAUGAUACUAUUAUUAUGAAGUGGAAGAUACUUGCCAAAUGAGAAGGGUGUGGAUAAAACUUUUUCUGAUUAGGAAAUUGAAAGAUACCUGUUCAUUGCAGAUAGUGGCUGUGAGUUUUCACUAGAAAAUGCGGUAUUUGUAUUUAUUUCUAGUUCUUUCAUUUAUUAACAGGAUAAAGAGCUGCAUUUUUGUUUGGGAUCAACUUAUCUUACUUAUCUAGUUUGGCGUUGAGAUUUAGAUGUGUUGCGAUGACAUGUAAAAUAGCCAAAUCCCACAACCAUGAGGAGUUGUUCAGUUGAGGCAAUAGCUUUGAUUUCAAUCAUAAAAAUUUCAAUUUCUUGUCUCAAAUGAGUUUAGUAGUUUUCCUUUGCUUAACAAACACAUUAAUUAAGAAUUCAUAUUAAAUCUUGAAAAGUUUUAUGGUUCAAUGCCUGUGUGUGGUUCAAUGCCUGUGUGUGGUUCAAUGCCUGUGUGUGGUUCAAUGCCUGUGUAUGGUUCAAUGCCUGUAUGUGGUUCAAUGCCUGUAUGUGGUUCAAUGUCUGUGUGAUUUGAUGAAAUCUGUUGUGCUGGACACCAUCAUCAAAUAAUCCCCAGGGUUAACUUCUUGCCACUGUUUGUAAAUAAUGCAAUGAAACCAUCCUUUUGACAAAUUUUCUAAUAAUUCUUGCUGCCAGUCUGACACCCAGCCAUACUUCUGGUGCAUCAGUAGUCACUCUACUAAUAUCCUCUAUGAUGGUUGAAAGUUAUUUAAACAGGUCUUUGCCAGUGAUGGUUCCAUGCAUGCAUCUCAUAGCAGCCAACUCUUUUUGUGAUUUCCUGUUUGCAUUGCAAGUGUUGUCAGAUAUGCAUGUGGACUUGUUAGCAGCAAUUUGAAAUGUGCUUUGUCUCUUAACCCAUUCCUUACACCCACCUUAACAUUGUCAUGGGAGAAAGGCUGAUGUCUUCAACUUCUUCCCAGGGUACAUUUCUUCCAUCACUGUUAGACACUUUUUUUUUUACUCCUUUGCCUUUGGAAUAUGAUGGGAAAAAAGAGAGUUCCAUAUUCAUUGUGGUGAAAACAUUUUUUAUCUAUUUUGAUAUUAUACACUUUGUACCAAUGAUAGCUGGCCAAAUACUAUUGCAUCUAAGUGUUUGGAAGAUACUUUUUAAAUAACUAAGUAAAAGAGAUUUGUUGAAUGAGUGAGUAGGAAAACAUUUUUUAAAGAAGGAAAUAAAAGAGUAACUUGUUCUAUAAGUUAAUGUUACAUGUACUCAUUAAUCAGGAAGCAGAAGACACUAAAUGAAGAAAUAGUAGAUAAUUAUUAAAUUGGAUAGAGGAAAUACUUCAUUAAUGACUAAAUGAAGACAUAUUUGUUUAAAAAAAAAAGAGUGACUUUAUUGAAAAAGGAAAGGCGAGAUACUUGUUCAAUAAGAAAUUGGAAGGUACUUGGUAACAGACUAUAUGGAAUACAUAUGUUAAAUAAAGAGAUUGAGGAGAAUAUAGAUACAUGUCAAGGGAGAAAAUUGGAGAAACUUGUUAAACGAGGAAAUGGCAGAUACUUGUUUAAUGCAAACUUUUGAAAUUGCAGAACUACAUAUGAAACGAGUAAAUGAGAGAGAACAAAGAAACAAAAGAAAAUGGAAGAAAUUAAUUAUUUAUGUUGUUACGAAUCUCACUAUCCAGGCUCUCUGCAAACUGCACCAUACACCACCAACUUAAAGAACUUGACAACUCAGGGCUCCAGAGUAACGUAACACUUUAAUAGUUGAAUAAAUAACAGCCAAUACUGUACAAUAGGCAACACGUACACUGUACAAAUAUCUCUCCGAUAACACUGUUCCGCAGUAUCAACUCUUGCACUGGCCUCUCCGUCUCGUUCCGGGCUUGCACUGGGUUCAACAGUUCAGGACUGACUUCACACACUAGGCUCGUUGUGUCGGACUCGAUCGCAGAUCAAGAUCAAGACGCCAGUCGUCUCAACUGUACUUGACAGUACUCCGCACUGAACCGUCGUAAUGCUCCGUACAGAACCACACCGCUGAACUGUGCUGUAGUCGACCGUGUUCUGAGCCCCUGUCGUAAACCUUCUCUCGUGAACCGUCUUGACUGGACACCUCCGCUCUUUAUAUAGGGUCCCUACUGGCCUUCUAGAACCGGAUGGAACAUCGCUUGACGUUUCUAGCUUCGUCACAUGACUACAUCCCUCGUGACGCCCCUGAGCUCUGUUCACGACGGCGAUCCUUCCCGAACCGCCCUGUUGACACUCGACUCGGCAGACUGUCGUAACUCGUCACGGUUGACCGCUCGUCUAGCUCUGGCCUGGGGCAAUUAGCCUCGGAUGACUACACUCCCACACUACCCCCUCUGUGCCACCACCAGGUUUAUAACAAUAUAUAUUGGAGCUUCUGCUUACAUAGGCAAUUUCUUUGAUUCUGAAGAUAAGAAUGAGUGCAGUAUAUCAGACUUCUUCACAAAACCUAGUUUCUACCUGUAUAUUUACCACAUCCAUGGUGGGUCUUCUUAAGUUAUCUUUUUGUCUUCUGCACCUCAUCAAAGUGUCCUUUAAGAGUGGAGAAAUUUCCCUUUUUGUUUUACUCUAAGUCUUUUAUAAAGGAUUGGCUAUUAACCAUCCUCCCUGUCAGAAGGCCCUCAUAAACAGUGAUCAUUUAAUCACACCCAUGUAUCACAUGAAACACAGCUCCUUGACCAAGCCCAGGAGAGGACACUUCUUAUUCCUAUAAUGUACUGUGGGAGGAUCAUCACCACCCAUAAGGUCCCCACUGGGAAAUAAUGCUACAGGUGGGACUGGGGUUAGUAAACCUCUUUUAAAUCCUCAUCAUGUGCAAUGUUUGUUCUCUAAAACAUACUGUUUUAGCUCACUGGAGGCUAUGUUUGCUCUCAUUUUAGCUUAUUUGAUUCCCCUUUCCAUGGAGGCGCCAUACUGAGGAGCUUUUAAUCUGGUUGUCUACACUUAUCUUAAGCAAGGACACUCUACAUUUAUCUUCAGCAAGGGCACAAAUCCUUCAAUCUUUGUCAUAAUGCUCCAGUUGUCUCUUUCAGAGGCCAUCUUUUGCCAGCUGCUUCUUACGUAGCGUUACCGGUAGUCUCAGAAUAUAAAAAUGGAAGGAAAAGUGGCUACACUGACUGGCAUCUAAUACAUACAAAGCUGUUGUCUUCUACAAUGUUUAAAAGGUCUGUUGGAAGAAAUUUGCCACUAAGUGUUCUUUUAUGCAAAAGUUAAGGCUGGAUUCGUUUUUAAGCACCUGACUUAAGGCCUUCUUAUUUAUGCUAUCCAAAUAAGAUUGGCUUUGGCAAAAGAUGUUUUACCUAGCACAGCUUUCAAACAUUACACUGUUCACAGUGGCAUCCACCGGAACAAAUUUAUUUUUGAAUACUUUUGCCAUGGUAAGCCCAUAAUGGGGUGGAGACUUUUGUGGAAAUGUUAAAGAAGAUGCUUUCUAUAGAUUGGUAGCACCUAAGUCUCCAUACAGAAAAUUUGUGAGACACACUGCUCCAUAGAUAUACAUUUUAAUUUAAGAGUCUGAUAGACCUAUUCCUUGUCGUUUGAAGAUGGCUAGGUUUAACAAGCAGUUUAUCUCAUUUUCUGAUCAACAUUGCUUUGAGAUGUGCCAUUAUCAAGGAUUUGUGGGGCGGAGUCAUUUUCUAUUAUGUAAUCUGUAAUAGUUAGGAACAUAGCAAUAAAAGAUAGACUUUAUGAUGUGACAUAAUUGAAACUGUAGAUAACAGUUAAAAAGUGAGGUAGUGCUUUCACUGAGACAAUUCAUAGUAGUGACAAAGACUAGAUCUAGACUGUUUCCCAUCCUGGAUCAAAUGAUCUUCAACCCUUUUAUAUUUGUGGAGUUUUUUUGUCUUUCAACUGAACAUUUGACAUGCAAGUGUUUUUUGAAUCGUCAUUAAUAUAACAACUGGGAAUCAAUAAAACACUUUACAAGGUUUCUAGAUUGAUAGUUAUGAUAGUUAUAACUGUCAUUUAAUUUGUUUACUGAAGUUCCUGAUCACUAUGGGCAAAUAUAAUGGAAUAUUCCUCAUCUAUUUAGUUUUAAUAUGGAAAGUAGGUAAAAAUAUAUUGCAUUCAAAGUGAAUCUUGAUGUGCAUGCAUUUGUACUAGCACUGCUUCAUUUAAUCAGCAUUAUUCCUUAAAUGAUAAAAAAAUAGGUUAGAGCUAUAUAUCUUUCCUCUACAGAAAUAAAUCAUAUGGUCACCAAAGGCACAAAUUAUAGAUUGGUUAUUUUUUAAACAAAGUUAAAUACUUGUUGCAUAUUUGAACAAAUAAUUUCUUUUUGAAACAUUGAAGGUAUGGCUUUGUUCCAUGUUUGUGCAGAUGAUAAGCUCUUUUUGAAAGCAUUGAACAUAUGGCUUGUUGCAUGUAAAUGAGAAGAAAAGAAGAUAGAUACUAAGAAAAAAAAAAUAUAUAUAUAUCAAUUUGAGAUACAUGUAAAUAGACCACUAGUUGUAGAAUGAAUUGAGAAAAUUGGAAAUGCUUAUUUUUCACAGUUUAUUUGUUUUUAAGAAUGUUGCAUUAUUAGAUGAAAUGGAAACUAUUUUUGAUAACAUUGCUGUUACAUUUUUAAGGGACUUGGUAACAUUGCUGUUACAUUUUUAAGGGACUUGGUGAUAUCAGCGUUGGACAUUUUGUUGUAACAAAAAAUGUUAAGCUACCACAAAUUAUUGUCUACAUUGGACAUUGUGUUGUAAGAAAUGUUUAGCUAUGGGUACCACAUAUCAUUGACUACAUUGGACACAUCAUUGUACUUUACAAAACUUUAACAUUUCAAUUUUUGUUUCAUACAUCAAAAGUUAUAGUACAGAAAACAGCUUCUGUAACAGCCUUUUUUCUUUUCCUUUUUUAUUCAAAAUAUCAAGUAUUGGUAGUUGAUUUGCUAUUUACUGAUAGCUUGUAAUUUAAUGUCAAGAAAAGGAAUUCUUAUCUUAUCUUAUUGAAAACUUAUUUACUCAUACUCUUUCUUAUUAGAUUUUAACAUUUUUAUAAGCCACUUGCAUAAACAAAGUUUCUUUUGAUACGCAUCAAUUUGUCCUGAUUUUGUUUUUCACUUAAUUUGAAAAACCUUUAAAAAAACAAUAACUUUCUGUCUGACUUGCGUUGUGGCAACUGUUGCACUUGUACGACUGAUGUUUAUUGUUGUGCAACUGUUUUGUAGAAUGGACUUUAGUGCUAAUGUUUGACUUUUGUUGUGUCAUUGAUGCACCAUUUUAAUGCUUAUCUAAUAUUCAUGUUGAGGUGAGAAAUUGAGUAAGGUGUACUGGGUAGUUUUAGUUUGUGAACAGAUUAACUUUCAUUAUUGACCUCUUUUGAUAAGGCCCAUCAACACCCUAAUACUUAAAUGUAUUAGCAAAACCUUUACACAUUUGUAGUUUCUUGUUUAGAUCAAAUUAAUAUCAUAAGUUAGUAUCCUACUUUUUUCAGCAAUUUUUCUUAUAGUGUUUUUAACUAGUGUUAUGUUACAUAUAUUUUUGUCUUUUGACACUUGUGUUUUUGUUAAAAUACAAUCAUAAUAAAUAAAAAUAUGCACCAUAAAAGAACUUCAAUAAAUUAAGUAGUUACCUAUAAAAUUCACUGUCACUUUUCCCAUUCUAAUAAAUAUUCAAAUGAAAUAGAGCUUCAUUAGAAAAAAAAAGUUGAAUAGCAACUGUCUUAAAAAUUGUAUCAUUGCGUAUCAGUCAAUUAAAUUACUGGUAUUAAAAAUUUCUUAUCUCAUUUGACUGUAAUCAUUAAUUAAUUAAUUAUGGUACUUUAAGAAUCUCAUAAUUACAUUAAUAAACAAACAUCUACAUUCUAACUUCUUCCUCUGUAUCCUUUUUUUUUUUCAAUACAUUUGCAGUACUGACCUUCACAACAUGCUACACUCAGACCAUAACAAGUUUGAUUUGUAUUGAAUGUCCAUCAAAUGACAUUUUUUCCCAUAUAUGAUUCUAACAGACUCCGAUGAAAAAUGAAACAUCAAUAACAUUUCUACCGGUAUAUUAGACAACAAAAUACAACAAAUAUUUAUAUAAUUUUCACAAUUUCAAUAUUUUACAUUUUAGGAUUAGUACAUUUAUCUCAUGUCUUAAGUAAUUUGGCUUUGGCAGCCAUGUAUUCUCAUUGCUCUUUUAUCAAUAGCAGCGCAAAGUAGAUUAAUACUUUUACAUAGAAUAAUUAUGAAUAAUUAAUUAUUAUACCAACUAGAGUUAUAUGUUCCUAACAUUCUCGUACUUGUGUAAAACCAAAACCAUUAUUUACAUAAUAAUCUUGAAUGUAAGAAUAUUUAUUUUUAGAUAUUCUAAUUUCCUCAUCUUGAUAUUACAUUUCUUAAGGAAAGUAUCCACGUACUUUGUCUUUGUCAAACGCUGCACCCUUAUAUUUUUAUUGCCCUUAUGUAGCUCUCAUCUCUUUUUUUUAAUGUAUUUUAAAAAGUUUUAUUAAUUUUCUUUAUCAGCUCCUUUUCCCUGCCCUCUAAUGCUGUCAUUGCCCUCUCAAAAACAAACUUUACCAUUACCUCCCCAUUCCCGGAUCUAGGGGAAACUUUUCAUAAGUAUUCAUUAUACCUGAUAAAACAUGAAUCAUUGAAAUAAAUUAAUCAAUUAGUUCAUUAAUUAUUGGUGAUUAAUCAUUUAUUUGAUAUCAAAAUAAGGGAAAUGAAUGCUACUUAAUGAGAUGUGGAUGUAUUUAUGGAUUUAAUUAUGUUUUGACACGUUUUUCUACUGCUUCCCAUUCUCAGAUCAAGUUAAAAUUUUGCAUAAUUAUUCAUAGUUGAUGCCAAUACAUGAAUCAAUCCAAAUAUUAACCAAUUAGUUAAUCACUUAGUACUAAUUAGUUUAUUUUUUUUAAUAUAGCAGAAAGGGAGCUAAACCCUGUCAUUUUUUAGAUAAAUGACAAUAGUUAGCUGUUCUUUUCCUUAGAUAAGCUUUGCAUUUCUAUUGCUAGUUAUCCAUUCACUUCUUAUUCAUAUCUAACUUCCUUUCUCUAAUUCUUUAUUUAUAUAACUUAUCUUUCUCAGGAGCCAGCCUUUUUCUACCGAUCUUUCUUGUACCAUUAUCUCAUAUCUGGACCUUCCUUCUCUCUUCAACGUCUUCUAUGCCAGUGUAUCUAUGCCAGUGUAUCGUAUCAAUAUUAUUCACUAUCUCAACUGUCUAUAGACAAGAGUUCAGUGAAAUCAUAACACAUAUGAUUUUAUUUUGUAUGGUAAGCCAUUUGUUGACAUAUAAGUCUCUUUAACCCCCAAUACUUUUUAUUACUGGUACUUUCAUUUUAGAAACAAUUACAUUAACAAAAACAAACAUCUCCAUCCUAUGUACAUCAAUAAACACAAACAUCUCUAACUGUAUACAUCAAUAAACACAUCUCCUACUAUAUAGAUCAAUUAAGACAUCUCCGAACUAUUUACAUCAAUAAACACAUAUCUCCCUACUAAAAAAUUAAAUGAAUACAAACAACCUCAUACUUUAAAUAUCAAUAAACACAAACAUCAUUAUACUAUACAUAUCAAUAAAUAUGAACAUCCCCAUUUAAUAUACAUCAUUAAGCUCAAACAUCUCCAAACUAUUUACAUCAAUAAAUGCAAACAUCUCCAUACAUCAAUACACACAUAUAUCUUCUACUACAAAGAUAGCUCAAACAUUUCUGUAUCAAUAAACACAAACAUCUUCAUCCUAUAUAUAUAUAUAUAUCAAUAAACAAUUAUUUUCAUACUGAAUUUAUAAGUGGACUCAAACAUCACUAUACCAUGUAUAUCUAAACACAAGCAUCACCAUUCUACAUGUAUCUAAACACAAACAUAUCCAACUAUAUUGUAAUAAUGGAAUUGUGUGUGUUAAUAAUAUUUUAGUAAUAUCAGAACUAUGUCUUCUGACCUAAAUUCCACCAUGUUGUCAGAGAUACUUGUUUAAUUGAAGAUAUAACAGAAAUCCUAAAUAAAAUUAAACACUUUUAAUCCUCAAGUUGAAAUAUACACACAAUAAACACAUAAUAAAACCUGAUUUCAAUAGUACAUUCACUAAACACAUAAUAUAACAACAGAAAAUUAAUACUUAUUAUGAACCUGACUGACCAUUUUUAUCAUCUUCUCUUGUUUAUAUAUCCUAACUAAAAUUGUCUUCUCUAACUUAGGAAAAAAAAUUUUUGUAACUUUCUUGGCUACUUUCUGUACUAAUGAAAUAAUUUGUGUUUAGUUUUAGUAGUAUGAGAAAUGUAUCAUAUCUUGUACAAACUAAUGUGUAGGGAAAAUCCUAUUUACACAUCAUGAGACCUUGACACAUACAUUAUAUAAUAUAUAUAAACUCAAAACAUCUACAUACUAUAUAUCAAACACUAACAUCUCCUAUAUAUACUAGCAGGAUAUGACCUAAGGAGCUAUGUCAGCAUGGCUAUUCAACCUAGGGUCUUCAGUUUAUUGUUAGUAUCUAAGAAACAUUUAAGCAAAGUUUUAUCAAGAUUGGUCAAAUGAUUUUGAUUUUUUAAUAAAACUUUCAUACAUAAAUUAUACUUUACAUACCUUAUAUUAUUAGUUAUGUCAACCAAUACAAACAUAUUUAUAUUAUUUGUCUGCUUCCUGUCCUGUAAUAAACUGGCUUAAGUUCUUGUAUAAAGUUAGAAAAGAAUUCAUUAAUAGACUAAACAUUAUUUCAAAUCUUAUCUGAAAUUCAGUCUUGUCUCUGCGGCAGUAUGUCAUAAAGGUCUUCUCAUUACAUUUGUCAUUAAUACCAGUAAUGGAUUAGGUAGAAGAGUUUACUAUAAAAUACUUUAAAACUAAUCCUGCUUAUAGAGUCAUCAUGACAUGUAGGUUAUUAGUAAAUCUUCAAACAACUCUAAAGCAAAAGUAAACAUCACAGUGUAUCAGGAUAUUUGGCUAACAACCUGAUCCAUUGUGUUCUAAGAUAAACAAAUGUGAGACAAGCCCCUACCAAAAAAAAAGUUUCGAUAUCUCUAAGUAUCUAAAAGUACAGAUGACUCCAGACUACUGAACUUGAAAUAGAGAAUAAUUUAUCCUUUUUUUUUUAAUGAAGCAAUUAUUUUUAUUAGUAAUUAGAUUGUUCAAGAGGUUUAUUCUAAUAUAUACCAAUUGAAGUUUUUACAUAUCAAAGUUUCAAAAUGAUAUCUUCUUUUAUGAAAAUUGUUCAACUUCUAAACAUACAUCAUUUGUUGAUUUAUCUACUUAGUCAAUGGAUUAUUCUAAACAAAUCAUAGCAACUAGUAACAUAAUAAAAUCUUAGGUGGUAUUUACAAAUAUAUUUUUUGAAGUUAUUGACUUAUUCAGGUUGUACUUUCCUUCUUAGUUUAAAUACAACUAUUGGUUGUAUUAUUUGAAUGUCAAGGAACUCCUCUAACCCUUUACCACUGUCUAGUGGAAUCCCAUGAUGCUUGUCUCUGUUUGUUUAUCUUUGACAGUCCAGCUUGUCUUCAUAUUACUAAACUAAUUCAAUGAAAAAGGAACAAAAUGAAAAAAAAAAUCUAAACAUUGACAAUUAUAAAAUAGAUCAUGUUGUUUUCAAAUGGUUGGAUAAUUUAUAUUUAUGCUAUCUUUUGAACAUUACUUAGAAUUUUCACUAAAAGUAAAUAAUGGGUGAAUAGCCACGGGGAGGAGGGAGUUAAUUUUAUGUGAAAAAUGAAGACAAGCUGGGGGUGGUGGAGAGCACAGUCAGACAGGGGUAGACAACUUAGAAUUGAGUUGUAUAGCUCUGACAUCUGACACAAUUUGGCCUAAACUUGAAAACUAAAAGUGCUCGUGGGAAUUUCACUUAAAAAAAAAAAAAGAAA
Biomphalaria glabrata is the source of this 19682-nucleotide long non-coding RNA. RefSeq lists it as uncharacterized. The transcript is spliced from 2 exons. Lineage: Eukaryota; Metazoa; Mollusca; Gastropoda; Planorbidae. The record is from RefSeq and is a predicted model, not a curated record.